AAGUGUUGGGAUUACAGGUGUGAGCCACUGUGCCUGGCCUGAAUAUAUGUGUCUUGAUAGCAAAAAUAAGGUGUGGCAGAAUUUGGUCUGGAACAGCACCUAAGUAGAGAAUAAUCUGGUCAAUUUCUUGUAUAAUUUUCUGCUCUUGAGGGACCAGAGGGUAAGACAUUCAUUCAUUCAUUCAUUCGUUCAUUCAGCAUUUUCUAAGUGCCUACUAUAAUAAAAUCUAGUAGUAACAGUUAACAUUUAAUAGAAACCCACAAUGUGACAGGCACUGUGCUAAGCACCUUAAAAUGAACACAAUUACUCCUCACCAACCCCCUCAAGUAAGAAUGAUCCCCAGAUAAGAAAACAGGGGGAUUAGGAAACUUGCUCCAUAUCACAUAACUGGCAGAACUUAGUUUCCAUCCCAGUUUUAGCUAAGAACCUGUGCUCUCAACCACUGUGCCAUGUCAUUUCCCUAUGUCCAAGUUUCUGAAGUAGGCCUGGUUAGGACUGCAAAUAACAAACUGUUAUUACAAACUGUAGUUAAGUCAGAAUGGAACAGACAUAGAGAACUGGUUCUUAGGCGUUUGCCCACUGAAAUGUGUACUAGCUGAUAAGCUUGGAUGAGAUGCAUUCGCUGGGACAACACCGGCACUGUCAUUGCUCCACCCUUUGCCCUCCACUUUUUGCCCUAGGAAAGCAUACUGGAAUGCAUGUAAUACAUAUGAGUAAGAGUGACAAUAUUACAGGAAUGACAUUGAAUCAGUACUCAUUUAUGAAAGUGGUGUAUCCUUUGCAUAUUUUUGUGUAAGAUGAUAGUGGGUUUAAGUCUUAAGACACAAAGGAAGGCAUUCAAGAAAUAUAACUUUUUUUGUUUUUAUAAAUCAACUUCAUUUUGGCUCUGGACACCCAGCCUUUUGAGCUGGCAGGAAAUUUAGUCUCUGCCAUUCUGGGCUGAUCUCCCUCAUGCCCUGUGAACUUGUGCCAAGAUCUGAGUCUUAUGCAGGGCCAACAUAUUGUAUUGGACAAUUAUCUACAUUGGUUCCACUGAGACUGCUGUGGUCUUUCACUUUCCCUUUGGCUCUUGGAACCCUGAAACCUAUAAAACUGGGAGCCCUGGGCCCAGAAUCUAGGUGCCCAGCUUCCCAAGGCUGCACAUGGCCUUUCUUCCAAGGCACCUUAGAUCUCUCUUCCCCCUAACCUAAGGCCUUUUUUUUCUUCUAGAAGGAAAUCCCUUGCUCACCUUCCAUCUGAGGCACUUUCCGGUCAGCAUGCCCUAUUUUCCUCAAUGGGUUUUGCUCUUUGAAAAAAAGAAAGCCAUGAGAAUAUACAGUUUCAGCUGGCAAGCUGCUGCCCAGCCCAAGGCAACUUUUUCCAGAUUCCUUGCAUGUGGGUAUGACCAGUUCUCUAGUUAUUCCCAAUGGGAGGUGAGUGGAAGUGAUAAAUGUCAGUUUUGGACCAAGGCUUUUGAGAAGCAGGCAUGCUUCUUUUGUACUGUGUCCCCUUCUGCUGGCUUACAUGCAGAAAAUGAACAGGCCCUGGGAAUGUCGGAGGCCUGAGAUAGAAGGAGACUUCAUCCCUGAAACAUUGCUGGGAGGGCGCUGCCAACUUACCAGGAGCGUUCACUUAAUGCAAUUUUAUGAGCAAGAGAUAAACUUCUGGGUAUUUUAGUCAUUAUACACAUUUGGGUCUCUUCGUUACAAUAGCCUAGCAUAUAGGGAGCAUGCUUAACAUUUUUCUGUUGACUUGGGGUAUGUGCAAAAUAUAUGGAGGCCACUGGUCUAAUCACUUGCCAAAUGCAAAUGAAAUAGGAUUGUCUUGUUUUGUCAGAUCCAGGGGACAGAAGCUCAUCAUUUCAAAGCCAUCCUCUCAUGUAAUCAAAAGCUAUAAGGAUCAUAGAUGGUGUUUAAGACAGCUGAGUUUUAUAUUUGCAAAACUGAAAAAUAGUGAAAUUUUUAGGAAGAUUCACAAAUUUAGAUUACCAUUAAUUAGUAAAAAUGACAAGCCUUAGUGGUAACCCAAGGGUUGUCUUAGAAAAUGUGGAAAUAUUUGAUGAAUGUUAUUGAAGAACAGUGAAAUCCAGCAAUUGUUUGGCACAGAGUUUGCUCAAAUUUGCAACUACUUUAAUGUCCCCAGACUUUAGCUUAAAUUGUCUUUUUUCAAGGCUCAAGGUCUUUUAAGACCCGAGUGUUUUCCAGUUACCUUUGCAAAUGAAUUAAGAGUUCACUGCAUUCCUCUGACCCUCUUCCCUGGGGUUUAGAUGGUGAAACUCAAAAAGCCUUCCUUCAUGCAUUCAGCUUAGAGAAGGAAUAGAAUGAUACAUCAAGGCAAUAUCUCUGAAAGCUGAGAUCAACAGACUAUGAUUAAAGUCAGCUUGCAGUUAUAUUGGCUGAGACUGUCACGCCAGCUGCUCGUAAACCCCACAAGAUGAUGGAUGUCUUACUGUUAUCCUUACUGCUCUCCAGAAUUUAUUAGCAGAAAAGAAAAAUAGGGAAAGGUUAUAACUCUCAGAAGUCCAAAAUUCUCUUUGCAACAGUGAAGAGUGAAGGCUUGGAUGUCAGUUAUAAAUGAAUCACUGGGCAUUUGUGGGGCGCAGGGAGGAGUGUCAGAACCUCAGCACUCUAAUCAAGAGCGGCAGGAGCACCUGCACAGAGGGUCAAGUGAGUGUUAAGAGGGCUUGUUUUGCAGGUGCAUUCAUCAUUCUAUCCUGAGAAAUUUAGCUAGUUGCUGUUGAGAAAAAACUCUUCGUUAACAUUAGGGAAAUGAAAUUCCAUGGCCCUCACUCACUGUAGGGGAAUUAAGGGUUAUAGGGAAGGGAAAUCCUGCUUGGGUUCAGGAGUGAGGUGCGGGAGUUCUAGCAUCAUGGAACUGGUGAAGGACUAUGUUGCUGGGGAUCUGGGAGCAGCUGCUUUGGGAGGCAGAAAGAUAGAUUUGGAUCCCUCAUCUUGGGUCUUGAUGCUAAUUUCCUUCCUUUCUCCUGCCCUCUCCUUUCUCCUAGUGAGCUAAGAAUAAAAACUCUGGAACCUGCUGUUUUAUUUUUUUCACUCAAGAAACUGAUUAAUGAAGGCUGCUGGGUUUAAUAAAUGGCUGUCUAUUUCAGCUUAGAAAACACUAUUUUGGGGAGUGGAAAAAUAUUGGCAAUCAUUCACCUUGUGGAGAGCUGCAUUAGUUUGCAAGUUGUUAAAGGAAUAGACUUUGAUAUUAAAGAAGCUUUGAUUAGGAUACGUGUUCCUCCACCUGGCAUAGGAUAUUUAAUAGCCGUGUGACCUUGAGUGGUUACUUCACAUUGUAUGAGCCUUAGUCCUCUAGCCCAGGAAAUGGUGAUUAAUGGUACAUGCCUCUGAAGUUUGCUGUGGAAAUUGAGGAAGAGACUUGUAAUAGUAAAUGUUGGAUAAAUGUGAACACUCUACAUGACCUAUUUAUUUUCUACUUUCAUAUUUUCAAAAGGAAGAUAGAGAACGUAUUUGCUUAUGGGUACAUUGGUUUUGAGCUCUUGCUCAUGGUUAAAUUUCCUGCUGAGUAUUUUCUGGACUCCAACUCAUUAUUGAGUCUGGACAGUUAACAUCACCCCUAUUCAUUUCUGUCUGGAGCACUCCCCUCUCUUUCUUGCCUUAGGAAGUUAAAAAUGAACUGAUGUGGCUAGAAAGAUUCCAAAGGGGGAAAAAUGAACUGAUAUUGCAGGGAAGUUUGCUUUAAUUUCCUGAAGAGAAGCUGUGGAAUAAUACUUUGAAUACUUAUUAUUUGUUGAACCUGGUCAAUGUUAGCAAUCCCAUGCAGAUUGUCUAAAGGUGCCAUCUUUGUCUUAGGACUAUGUAAUCAAAAUGAGCAAGGUAAUCCCAGAUGCACAAGUCAGCUUUGUGUUCAUAGAUGAGGUGCACUAAUAGCCUAGAUAUUGUAUUCGAUUGCAUGAGUACCUCAUUCAAGCACUGUCCCACUUUAGCCUCUUGCAGCCUGACUACUGUCUGUAUCUGGAAAAUGGAAAAACCAGCCAGAGUUUAAUCCAGAAAACAAACUACUCUAGGUAUUUUAGAUAGAAGGGAGAAUUAUCUGGAGAUUAGGUUCUCAGGAAAUUGUUGGAAGGGUUAAAAGGAGUAGGCUCUAGACUGGCUAGAGCUAAGAAUGGCUCCUGGAAUAUGACAGAACUGAAUUACAAGGGAAAUGACUAACCAAACCCCAAUUAGGGAGGGCAAAGGCUGAAACCAUUGACUUUAAGGACACAAAGACAUAGCUGUAAUCAAGAGAUCAGAAAAACAGCAUCUGAUCUGUUUGGGGGACCAAACCAUGUGGACAGUGGAAUCUGGAGUCUGGUGAUCUUCAUAGCCCAACUACCCCUCAACACUCACAAAGGCAGAGACUAAGUACUGAUACACAAAAAUCUUCCCUGCCAGCAGAAAACAGCAAACAGCGGAAAGACAGCUUCUGCCCACUUCCACCUUUUACAUUUCUGAUGAGUGCAUCUAAUUGACAGAACCUAAGUCAUAUCCAGUCUCCUAACUAGAUUCCAGAAAAUGUAGUGCGUGUUUGUUUAUUUAUUUAUUUAUUUUACUUCCAGCCUCUGCAACAUUGGAAAGCACCCUGGAAAUGUAACCGUAGGACCAGCUCAAACUGAUUAACCAUUGCUUAAGUUGUUACAGGUGACAAAGAGCCAAAAUUGCCCGGGUUUGCACAAUAGGAAGGGCUUUGACCUUCUAAUUUAAUACCACCAGCCUGGCAGACGAGCUGCAUUGGCAUCACCUGGGACUAGUUAGAAAGGCCGUAAAAGCUGGAGCUACUCCCAGAUUGGAGAGAUAGUUAUGAGUGUUGCCUCCUAUCUCCUUGCCAGUUGACUUGAAAUAAAGUGUUUUCUUUUCUCCAAA
Non-coding RNA from Macaca mulatta (Rhesus monkey), 4841 nucleotides. NCBI's taxonomy places the organism in Eukaryota, Metazoa, Chordata, Mammalia, Primates, Cercopithecidae. The record is from RefSeq and is a predicted model, not a curated record.